UGGGCGAUGGUGCAAUCGGCAGCACGCCUGACUUUGGAUCAGGAGGUUCCAGGUUCGAUCCCUGGUCGCUCAG
This 73-nucleotide transfer RNA is filed under the name Gloeobacter violaceus SpSt-379. RNAcentral describes it as "tRNA-Gln". It matches the Rfam family "tRNA". Rfam says of the family: Transfer RNA (tRNA) molecules are approximately 80 nucleotides in length. The record is from RNAcentral. Lineage: Bacteria; Bacillati; Cyanobacteriota; Cyanophyceae; Gloeobacterales; Gloeobacteraceae.